RNAcentral lists this non-coding RNA (24 nucleotides) under Rattus norvegicus (Norway rat). Lineage: Eukaryota; Metazoa; Chordata; Mammalia; Rodentia; Muridae. The record is from RNAcentral.
AGCCUUUUGAAAGGUCUGCCUCCU